GCGUGCGGACGAAGGCCUUCGGGUUGUAAACUGCUUUUGUACAGAACGGAAAGUUGGGUUAAUACCCUGAGGUCAUGACGGUACUGUAAGAAUAAGCACCGGCUAACUACGUGCCAGCAGCCGCGGUAAUACGUAGGUGCGAGCGUUAAUCGGAAUUACUGGGCGUAAAGCGUGCGCAGGCGGUUAUGUAAGACAGAGGUGAAAUCCCCGGGCUCAACCUGGCGAACUGGCCUUUGUGACUGCAUGGCUGGAGUACGGCAGAGGGGGAUGGAAUUCCGCGUGUAGCAGUGAAAUGCGUAGAUAUGCGGAGGAACACCGAUGGCGAAGGCAAUCCCCUGGGCCUGUACUGACGCUCAUGCACGAAAGCGUGGGGAGCAAACAGGAUUAGAUACCCUGGUAGUCCACGCCCUAAACGAUGUCAACUGGUUGUUGGGUCUUCACA
RNAcentral lists this ribosomal RNA (442 nucleotides) under uncultured bacterium. RNAcentral's name for it is "bacterial SSU rRNA". It matches the Rfam family "Bacterial small subunit ribosomal RNA", at positions 399 to 835 of the family's 1533-position model. The record is from RNAcentral.